Manihot esculenta (cassava) is the source of this 2719-nucleotide long non-coding RNA. RefSeq lists it as uncharacterized. NCBI's taxonomy places the organism in Eukaryota, Viridiplantae, Streptophyta, Magnoliopsida, Malpighiales, Euphorbiaceae. The record is from RefSeq and is a predicted model, not a curated record. The transcript is spliced from 2 exons.
AAUAAGGGAUUAUUUAUUUAUUUAUUUAUUUUUAAUUUUACUUUUCCUUUUUACUCUUCACAGUUAUGCAACCCUCAUACUUUACUCUUUCUUUUCACCAGGUUGCAGCCGCUCGUCCUUAUGGGUCCUAAAUGACAGUCCAGUGUUCCCUUCUCUUCCAUUGAUAGUCAGCGGGCAAAGACCAUCACACAUGGAUCUCCACCAGCAGCCACUGACAACCUCAGCGCAAAUACACCAGAUCACACUACUUCUCGAACGCUUGGCCCAUCGUGCAAUAUCAUUGCUACCUCACCUCCACCACCACGAACAGUUGCUCUGGCUCCAUGUGCAAAUGAUGAACUGCCCACUAGAGCUACACGAUGGCAUUAUCAUCGCAAACAGCCCUCACGCAACACCACAGUCGCUGCCGUUACUGUAACCCAUCCAUUAUUGACGCCACCAAUGAUCGGCAACAGCAACCUCCUGCCAACUCUGCACAUGAUCACGAAUUGGGAGAGACAAGCAUCUAUCUUUAGCUCUGUCACAGCCACAUGGUAACCUUCGAUUCAUAAGGAAAAAGGAAAAGGAAAGGUAUGCUAUAGUUUCAUCUCUUCCCAUCAUACAAGAUAAAACUUUACAUGCCCCUACUAUGCAAGAACUAAAAUUGAAUGUGGAUGUCUUGCUUGAAAAUAUUGGAUGAGUGAAUUUCUUUGCCUUAAAUUGUCCCAUUUACUAUGAACUGAUAUGGGAGUUUCAUUCCACGUUUUCCACUACAUCACUUAUUGAUUGCACACUAGACACUACUAGGGUUAUAAAAUUCAGACUAUUAGGUCAUAGAUUUGCAUAUUCACUAACAAAAUUUAAUAAAGCACUUAGGCUAAUUGAUGAUGAAUCUGCACAAUCUAAAGCUUACAUGAAUUCAUACAUGGACAUCUACAAUAAUUUUAACCCACAGUCCGUGCAUAAAACGCUCACACACCAAUCACCAGCAUCUUUUAAUCCUAUUAAAUCCAGUGAUUCUUAUUUACACUCACCUGCUCUAGUCCAUCUACACCUUUGCUUGCAUACUCUUUUUCAGGAAGGAAGGAUUCCCCUUGGAAUCCUAUCUAAAACUGAGUUAUUUUUUCUAUAGUGCAUGACUGAGAAUAAAAAGGUCAAUUUGUGUUAUUUCAUCGCAUUACAAUUACACACUACUGUUAAUCGCCAUAGACCAUUGAUAUUGGGACACAUAGUCACCCACAUAGCUUUAUAUGAAGGACUGAUUGAUUUUACACCUAAUAAUUUGCACAAAACUUGUGAUAUGUUGCCUUUGCAUCUAAUGAGUCUUGAUGAUAUGGGUCUAUUGUGCAAAAAUGGUGUUGUGUUUUCUCUUUUUCCUCCAGGUCCCAUCAUCCCUUGACUAGACCGUAUGUUCAGGAAAGGAGUUGUACGCACUACCCCUGUUGUCCUUACUCCAGCAAUGGCUAACCCUCUCUCUGAUGCACAACAAGCUUUUUAAACUCUUAAUGCCAAAAUCGAUAAGAUGGAGAGUUGCUUUGAAAGCAUUCUAGAGCCCGUUGCUACCCAUUUGGCAUGCCUAGCAAAUAAAGUCACUGACAUGUAAGCCAUAAUAUGCUCCACACACCAAUGCAUGUAAGCCAUAAUCUGCUCCACACACCAAUGCAUGUAAGCCAUAAUCUGCUCCACACACCAAUGGGGACAGUAAAUGGCCAUUGCAUCCUUCCUUACCACCUAGUAUUCUAAACUCUUCUUUAUUGCUUUAUACUUUGAUUCAAGUGUAGGGGAAGGCUGUUUAGAGAAAAUAGGCAUGCUUUGAUUGCAUUGAUUUUCAUCACAUUGGAGACCAUGUGAUCCAAGUGGGGAGGGGGGGGAAUGUUACUGUCCAUAUCCAUGAUGUCCAUCUGUUUUAGCUUUCUUUCGUUUUAGCUUUCUUUCGUUUUAGCUUUAUUUUCUUUUGUUUUAAUUGUUUUAUGUUAUGUUAUAUUAUGUUUGUUUAUUUUCUUUAGUUAAAAAAAUAUUGAUUUUUAUAGUUAGAUUAAAUUACUUUAGGUAGCUAGCACAAAUGGUUUCCUCUUAUCUUUUUAUGCAAAUCAUGAGGGAUUCUAGCAUUUUUUCUUUAUGGGUUAAAAUGUGCAAACUUAUAUUUAAGUAAAUUGAUAUUGCUUGUUAAAAGACUAUUAGUGUAUUUUGAAACUCUACUUUAACUUGUUGCAGUGAGUCUCAAUGAAGAAUAAUAUCCCAUGAACUCAAUUAAAAAAAAAAGGAAUAAAUUGUGUGGUUCACCAACAUUAGCUGGUUCAAAUGGUACGGCAUUUGUUCCUCUUAAGCAAGCGAUGUCCCUUGUGGAUGGAGAAAGCCUAUGAUUGGGAGAAUUAUACCCUGUAGGAGCCGUCAAUAAUUCGAAACAUACCACUAAUGAGAUGGUUUACCAUAAUCGGUUGGUUUGAAUAUUUCAGGCCCAUUCCCCUUAAGAAAGGGAUGUCCCUUGUGAAUGGAAAAAAUCAGUGUUGGGAGAGUCUACUCUCAUAGGAGCCUAUAAAAAUCUUGAAACAAGACCAUAAAAAAUAAAUAUAAAUAAAUAAAUAAAAACUGGAUUUCUAUAUUCUUUGGUGAAAAUUACAACUCUAGAGACUUCCUUGGUUGGUUGGAUAUAUGUUUUUUUAUGCAUUAACUUAAAAAUUAUUGAACUUAACUGUAUGAUCACAUAUUAAGAAUGAAUUUGUUGUAUUUCAGCUUUGAA